Molecule: ribosomal RNA, 395 nt
Filed under: uncultured bacterium
Lineage: Bacteria
Description: bacterial SSU rRNA
Rfam family: Bacterial small subunit ribosomal RNA
Source: RNAcentral
GACGAACGCUGGCGGCGUGCUUAACACAUGCAAGUCGAGCGGUAAGGCCCUUUCGGGGUACGACGAGCGGCGAACGGGUGAGUAACACGUGGGUGACCUCGCCCUCCAGCUCUGGGAGUAAGCCUGGGAAACGUAGGGUCGUAAUACUGGAUAUGACUCCACGGUGCAUGUCGUGGGGUGGAAAGCCUUGUGCGGCUGAGGAUGGGCCCGCGGCCUAUCAGCUUGUUGGUGGGGUGAUGGCCUACCAAGGCGACGACGGGUAGCCGGCCUGAGAGGGCGACCGGCCACACUGGGACUGAGACACGGCCCAGACUCCUACGGGAGGCAGCAGUGGGGAAUCUUGCGCAAUGGGCGAAAGCCUGACGCAGCGACGCCGCGUGAGGGAUGACGGCCCU